GACGAACGCUGGCGGCGUGCUUAACACAUGCAAGUCGAACGGAAAGGCCCUGCUUUUGUGGGGUGCUCGAGUGGCGAACGGGUGAGUAACACGUGAGUAACCUGCCCUUGACUUUGGGAUAACUUCAGGAAACUGGGGCUAAUACCGGAUAGGAGCUCCUGCUGCAUGGUGGGGGUUGGAAAGUUUCGGUGGUUGGGGAUGGACUCGCGGCUUAUCAGCUGGUUGGUGGGGUAGUGGCUUACCAAGGCUUUGAUGGGUAGCCGGCCUGAGAGGGUGACCGGCCACCUUGGGACUGAGAUACGGCCCAGACUCCUACGGGAGGCAGCAGUCGGGAAUAUUGCCCAAUGGGCGGACGCCUGAUGCAGAAACGCCGCGUGCGGGAUGACGGCCUUCGGGUUGUAAACCGCUUUCGCCUGUGACGAAGCGUUAGUGACGGUACUGGGUAAAGAAGCACCGGCUAACUACGUG
Molecule: ribosomal RNA, 468 nt
Filed under: uncultured bacterium
Lineage: Bacteria
Description: partial 16S ribosomal RNA
Rfam family: Bacterial small subunit ribosomal RNA
Source: RNAcentral